This 253-nucleotide ribosomal RNA is filed under the name uncultured bacterium. Its description in RNAcentral is "partial 16S ribosomal RNA". It matches the Rfam family "Bacterial small subunit ribosomal RNA", at positions 524 to 776 of the family's 1533-position model. The record is from RNAcentral.
GACGAACCGUGCGAACGUUGUUCGGAAUCACUGGGCUUAAAGGGCGCGUAGGCGGCCCGCCGCGUCCGGGGUGAAAUCCUCCCGCUCAACGGGAGAACGGCCUCGGAUACGGGCGGGCUGGAGGCGGGUAGGGGCUGGCGGAACUGUGGGUGGAGCGGUGAAAUGCGUUGAGAUCCACAGGAACUCCGGUGGCGAAGGCGGCCUGCUGGACCCGAUCUGACGCUGAGGCGCGAAAGCCAGGGGAGCGAACGGG